AGUCUAUUCUCUCUUACUUUUCUCUCAGUUCUUUUGUUUGAUUUUAUUUCGAUUGUUUCAUCUUAUUCACCGCAGGGGUUGAUGCUGAAUCAAAAAGAGAGGUUUAUGGUUCUUUGCUCUAAAGAAGUUGUGAUAUUGGAGGAACAGCUAUCGGGACUUUCUUUUGGAACCUUUUCUUUCGUGAAUAUAAAUCAAGUGGGAUUGCAUGAAGCCAUCAACUAUCUUAUCUAUAAAUUGGUUUGAUAAUAUAAUUUGAAUUUAUAAUUGGAUUCUAAAUUUUCAAGGUUAAAAUCCUCAAAUUUUGUUGGUGGAGAAGAUGUGAUGUUUACUGUCUCAAAUAGGUGUUGCAUCUAAAUCUUCUCAUUCCCAAAUUUUGAGUUUCCUAUGGAUUAACAUUAGUAAAUUAGUUUUGUCUAGGAUUCACAUAUAAAGGAAAUCUGGGUGGCAAGGUUGAAUCAAAAGAAAUAUUAUUAGAAUUUUGUAUCUGAAAAGUUUAUUAAGAAUUCAAUCUAAACAGACAAAGUUGGCCAGUUAUGUGCAUCACCAGGAACAUCAACAACGUGGACCAUUCCCGUUUUAGGCCAACACGGGUUGCACAACCAAAGUAAGGGUUAAUCAUAGCAAUAUCUGAAUUUAUAAGGAUUAUGCAGACCAACAUGGUUCUUCUUCAGUUUUAAGGAUGGUGUGAAUGUGGGAUCAACUGUACCACUCCUCUAUUUAUUCAUGGACCGCUUAUAUGCUCAUUCAGAAAGUAUCACCACCCUUAUAGUUUGUCCUCCAGACAUGAUUGCCUCCAGUGUUUCUGCUAUAUUUUCGGAGUAAUUAUUUUCGUUAUGUUGUUGAUGCGUUUCUUAUGCCCCUUCGUCAGUUGUCCUCAAGACUUUCUUCUGCACCGAAAAAUCAAGGGUCGAGCUAUUUGUUACUGGACAGUCUCUAUGAAAUCUGUAAGUUCCACUUAUUGAUGCAAAUACAAUCAGUAUUGUAUGGUUUAGCUUUCUCAGCAUCUGAAAACAACAAGCUCUUCUCAUUUAGCCUAUGCCUAAAGUGUUAUGUUACAUGUUGCUGUAUCAAUGUGCCAAGUAAUCUAUGGUAUAACUUUUCAUGUUAAUCACCUUCAAACACUAAGCAAAGCACUAGGUGCUGGAGUGAUACCGGUUAGUGCGGUUCUUGCAGACACGAAUGUAACAUUAUGUAUUAAGUGGAACUUAAUUCGGUCUGAAUUGCAUUAUGUUAUAGUAGGGGUUCAGAUGAAUUCGGGAGAUACCUUAACACCACCACCCUGACUAUGUUAUAGAUUGGACUAUUUCUCCAUCCAUAUCAACACCACCACUACGCCUUGCAAGAUGCUCUACGAAUCCUAUUCCUGAUUCCUGGAGGUACUUUGCAGGUUGAUUAUCUCUAGCUCUCUCUUAUUGUGUUUGUGUGCUAUUCUUUAUGCAUAGGCUGUUGAUAUUAGUUUCAUAAAGGUGCUCGGUUUAAUAAGAUGAUCCCAUUGUCUGAAUUGCUAUUAGAAAAGAAGAUCAAGUAAACAACAACUAGAUUUUUGGAUGGAAUGUUUUUCUUAGUCGAUGCUUAACUAAUUCGUUGGAUGUAUUAAAGGAAACCAUCUGGGCGAAGUUCCGAAAUCCUUAACUUAGCUGGUGUUUACGUCAUACUUUUCGGCUGCAAAACAGCUUUAAGUUAUUAACCAAUUCUGGGUAACAUUCUGUAGUAUUGUCCCCGAAAAAUGAUUAUUCAUUCAAUCGCUGCGGAGUGUACAAAUGGCUUUUAAUAUCUGUUGGUCGUCUUUCUUCUUCUGGAUAACAUUAUCACUUUGUUUUUUCUUAUCGAGUGGUUUAUAUAAAUCUGUAGAUUGUAGAUCUUUAAAGCCCUAAGUAUGCUUCAGUUGUUGAUUUAAACAUGAGUAAACUUGGUUUAUAACGACUGUAAGAAGGUAAUAUACAUAGACAAGAAUAGGGUUUAACUAUCAAAGGAAGGGGUUCAUUUCAUUAACCAAGUCAACACGGCUCUGCCGUAAUGUGAAUUAGACUUGCGGAACUAUGCAUUUCAAAUCUUAAGGUUCCUCUGCUUUGAUAUAUUGGUGAGGCGAUUGAUGUUUACUGUUUUCACUUCUACGGCUACUAAAGGACUACCAUAGGCUUAUUGUGUGUUAUGUAAGGUAAUGCAGGUUAUUUCAAUUGAUAUCACAUGCCUUAAUGCUGGAUCAUGGAUAGUCUAAAAAAAAUUGAAAAUGACAGCAAACAAUCACUAGAAAAUAAUUUUCUUGAUAUUUUUAUCUAAUAGCUGUACUUGAAUUAAUUAGGAUGAAGAAAACCAUUAGUAAAAUUCAAAAUGCAUGUAUCUUUUCUACAUUGUCUAAUCUUGAUUUACACUACAAGAUGGGCCUAUAGUAACAAUUUUUUUCUCGGUGUUUUUCUCAGUGAAUUUGGGAUAAUAUUCUAGGAAUUGUUACUCUUUAGAUUAUGGGUUGGUCUUUCACUGAUUUUGGUAAUUUGCUUUUGCAGAUGCGAGGUGUAUACUAAAUUAUCUAAGCUCAUUUGUUUGCAAUUAUCUAUCGGUUGUCAUAGUACUGAUUGAACACCCUCAUUUAUUUAUUUAUAACUAUAGAAAGAUAAGCGGUCAUUUUAUGUUUGUGUAGUUAUGUUCUAAAAUAGGCGCCAAUGGACCAACAUUAAAUGGAUCUUUACUUGAUUACUAACAUUUAGCAGCAUAAAGAUGGUCAGCGUCAUUUAAUUAUUAGAUUGUUAAGAGUUUAUCAUUUAUCUCUGAUCUUCCUCUUUGUGUGGUAGAACCACUGCAUUAAUCAUGGACCAGUGUGUGAACAAGAAUCAAAAAGAAAAGCAAUGGGGGGAAAUGCGUGAAGCAUAGCUUUUACUGAUCCUGAUUUUCUCAGAGGUUUACACCAAGCGGUCAAUAUAAUUCAUUGGUUCUGUUUUGCAGGAGCUUUGUUGCUCAAGUAUAAUAAUCCAUAUUAUGUUUGUUCAUCGACUACUACAGUAAAACCAAAUAAAAGUGGUAUCAAGCGCAGUCGUAACACCACCAACCUCAGGGGGAGAAUGCAAGCUAGCCACUGCUGCAGAAUGUGGUUAGAACCAAUGGGACUUGCCUAGGAGUUGAGGUACACCAGCGCCAAACCUGUGUACAUCACAGGGUGUUCUUCAUUUUGUUAGGCCUUACAGUACUGAGUCCGUACACAUCUGCAUACAACCAUGCAGGGUCAAUGCCUCAAUAUGGCAAGCUACAACCGUCCGCAUACAGCCACAUGUGUAUACAACCAUCUAUACGCAUAUAGCAAUAAAUUUAACAAUCCCCGUGCGGAAAGUAAAGCUCCGAGGACGCUGGCGUACACAAUUAAGCAAGGAACAUCAUACCACAGGAUGCUCAAGAUUCAUACCGCAGGAUACUCGAGAUAAUAACUACUUCACCAAUCGCAGGAUGCUCGGGAUAACAAUUACUUCGCCAACCAUACCGAACUUAAGCUGCCCGCGGUUGAGUAUGGAUUUAACUUUUUUGCAGAAUCCUGAAAUGUCGACCUCCAAAGAUUUUCAGAAACCCUCAACCAUUAUCAGAAACCCUUGACCAUUGUCAGAAACCCUCAACCUCCUAAGAGUUUCAAAAACCCUAAACCAUUGUCAAGAAGCACCAAUGCACUCAUGGUACCGUUAGCUACACAGCAGAACACAAGCCUUCCCCAUGUGUAUUUUCAACUUCAUGAAUCAAUCAUUUGUUAACGCAAUUCUGGAGAUCUAGGCACCAUGGAAAAUACAAUGGUUCCUCGGCAUACUCCCAGUUGUGAACUAUAGAGAGAUACCCACCUAAGUAUAGGUAAUUUUCUAAUAAAGUUUGAUGAAGUGGUUCUGGGCUUCAUUGUAAUUGACAUGUUAAUCAGUGUUAUAAGAAAGAGAAUCACUUGAUAUCGGGCUAAUGCUAAACUGAAUGUAAUGCACAAUGUGGGGUUUUAGUCUGUUUUUUUCAUCAUUUUUGAAGAUUAUGUGAUUUCUAAAAAAAAAUCAUUAUUUGGUUUUUCUUUCA
Papaver somniferum (opium poppy) is the source of this 4032-nucleotide long non-coding RNA. RefSeq lists it as uncharacterized. The record is from RefSeq and is a predicted model, not a curated record. The transcript is spliced from 6 exons. Lineage: Eukaryota; Viridiplantae; Streptophyta; Magnoliopsida; Ranunculales; Papaveraceae.